Molecule: ribosomal RNA, 770 nt
Filed under: Neolana dalmasi
Lineage: Eukaryota; Metazoa; Arthropoda; Arachnida; Araneae; Neolanidae
Description: SSU rRNA
Rfam family: Eukaryotic small subunit ribosomal RNA
Source: RNAcentral
AAAGUUAGAGGUUCGAAGGCGAUCAGAUACCGCCCUAGUUCUAACCAUAAACGAUGCCAGCCAGCAAUCCGGCUGUGUUCCUCAAAUGACACGCCGGGCAGCUUUACGGAAACGAAAGCUUUUUGGUUCCGGGGGAAGUAUGGUUGCAAAGCUGAAACUUAAAGGAAUUGACGGAAGGGCACCACCAGGUAUGGAGCCUGCGGCUUAAUUUGACUCAACUCGGGGAAACUCACCCAGCCAGGACACAGGAAGGAUUGACAGAUUAAGAGCUCUUUCUUGAUUCUGUGGAUGGUGGUGCAUGGCCGUUCUUAGUUGGUGGAGCGAUUUGUCUGGUCUAUUCCGAUAACGAACGAGACUCUAGCCUGCUAAAUAGACGUUCCGAUCCUAUGCGUCGGACGCUCUUCUUAGAGGGACCAGCGGCGUUUAGCCGCACGAGACAGAGCAAUAACAGGUCUGUGAUGCCCUGAGAUGUCUGGGGCCGCACGCGCGCUACAUUGAAGGAAUCAGCGUGUGCUUUCCCGGUCCGACAGGACUGGGUAACCCGUUGAACCUCUUUCGUGCUGGGGAUAGGGGCUUGCAAUUGUCCCCCUUGAACGAGGAAUACCCAGUAAGCGCGAGUCAAAACCUCGUGUUGAUUACGUCCCUGCCCUUUGUACACACCGCCCGUCGCUACUACCGAUUGAAUGAUUUAGUGAGGUCUUCGGACUGGCGCUCGGAGCGGCCUCCGGGUUCGCGCCGGCGUGCCGGAAAGAUGACCAAACUUGAUCAUU